UCACGUUUAUGAUGUCUUUAGGAACACAAGCACAGUGACAUAACUUAGACAACGUGGCGCGGGAUCGCACGUGUAUUUAAAAGUGUAAAUAGAAAACUAAUGUAUUAUAAUAAUUUAAUAAUUUACUUUUUUUAAUUAGGUGAAAGAAAACGUUUGAUUUAAAUUUGAAAAAUUAUAUCAUCCGAAAAUUGUUGUAUAACUUAAGUUUCCUUGAGAAAUCAAAGGACUUAAUAUUUCUAUAUUGGAACCAAAGAUUGAGGUAGCAAAAAUUGGAACUCAGAUAACCAUCAUAUUAAAUAAAAAUACAUCAAUUGGUGGAAUAUGCGGGAGAUGGGACUGGGAGUCGGGAGAAGAUGAGUACAAGAAUAUAUAUUCAUAUUCUAUGACUUAUCAAUGACUCAAAAUAAAUUUAGUUUAUGUAUAGGUAUACACUGCGCAUUAAAUGCUUAAAAACAUAUUGGUAUAAAGGUUAGUUUUGAGCUGUCCGUUUAGAAAUGUAUUCUAAAUAUUAUUAGGUACAUAUAUAUAGUAUUGAUAGAUAUAUACAGUACGAAUUUUCAGCAAUAUUAAUUUGGUAUCUACUAAUUAGCAUCAACUAAAAUAAUUUAUUUUGAUUGCAUCAAUUAUAGCAGACAAAAAAUUGCAUAAAAAAAUAUUUUACUUGAUUAUUAAUUACAUUCUGGUUACUUUGAAAACUAAGUAUUAAAAAAUUGAUGUGUACUCAAGUGGCUUUAACUUAUUAUUAUAUAAGACAAUCACAGUAUCACUUAAAACAAUUGUGUAUUAAUGAAUAUUUAAUAUUCAACAAGUUAAAUUUGCUAGUUCAAGCAUAUCAACAAGAAGUAUAUUUACAACAUACAGAAUGGAAAUUGAGAAGAAAAUCGGAAACAUAUUACUCAGAGAACCUACCACAUCUGAAAAUGCUGACAUAAAUGGUUUUGUCAUUCAAGAACAUUACAUCCCUUAUGAAUUAUUAUCAAAAAUUUUUUGUUUUUUGAAGCCUAAAGAAUUGAUUGUAUGUCACUUGGUUUGUAAAAAAUUGAAUGAACUAAUCAAAGAAUACAUAUGGAGAAAAAAAGUAGAAUUAAUUUCUGGUGAAUCAUUUUAUUUCAAAGAAGAAAUAAAUUGGCUUUCAUAUUAUCUUUUAUGUGAAAAGAAACUUUUUAACAGAAAUCUUUUACUAUCAGAUAAAGUAAAUGAAAUCCACAAUACAUAAAUGAAAAUCCACCAUGUUUCAAUAUCACAUCAUUUCCUGAGGAUCUUGUAGUAAAUGGAAAAAUUUGGUGCACUAUAUCACCUGAAUACACUAAGUAUUUACCAUCAGAAAGAGAGUAUCAUAUAGAUUUAUUAAAAGAAGGUUUUACAGAAAAGAUAUUAGAUGAUCUCCAACCAAUUAUUAAGGUGAAUGUGUGGUACUGUUGUGAGAAACACAGAUCGACUGAUGUAUUAAGAACCAAAUUUACUUGUGCUUUUGAAUUGUGGGGAACCAAACUAGAUGAUGGAUGCGUUAAAGAAUAUAUCAUGCGUGAUUCUCGUGUAGAAAAAACUUUCGAAUAUCGUAACGAAGUAGGAAGGUGGUUUCAACACACUGAGGAGUUCAAAAAUUAUGGAAAAGGAUUGAGAAAAAUCACAUAUUGGCUUAAUGCAUAUUAUUACGCUAUAAGUGCAGGUGCUAGUGUUAAACUGUGUCUGCCCGAUCUCCUAACAAGUUCCAAUUAAACUAUAACUGUGAAGAAAUCAUAUUUUAAGAAACAAAAUAUUCAUGUGUGCAUUUGUAAUGAGAUUUACUGAGUGU
This 1795-nucleotide long non-coding RNA is filed under the name Nasonia vitripennis (jewel wasp). Its description in RNAcentral is "uncharacterized LOC107981113". The record is from RNAcentral. Lineage: Eukaryota; Metazoa; Arthropoda; Insecta; Hymenoptera; Pteromalidae.